This 833-nucleotide ribosomal RNA is filed under the name Rhodotorula mucilaginosa. Its description in RNAcentral is "partial large subunit ribosomal RNA". It matches the Rfam family "Eukaryotic large subunit ribosomal RNA", at positions 75 to 929 of the family's 3401-position model. The record is from RNAcentral. Lineage: Eukaryota; Fungi; Basidiomycota; Microbotryomycetes; Sporidiobolales; Sporidiobolaceae.
UUCCCCUAGUAGCGGCGAGCGAAGCGGGAAGAGCUCAAAUUUAUAAUCUGGCACCUUCGGUGUCCGAGUUGUAAUCUCUAGAAAUGUUUUCCGCGUUGGACCGCACACAAGUCUGUUGGAAUACAGCGGCAUAGUGGUGAGACCCCCGUAUAUGGUGCGGACGCCCAGCGCUUUGUGAUACAUUUUCGAAGAGUCGAGUUGUUUGGGAAUGCAGCUCAAAUUGGGUGGUAAAUUCCAUCUAAAGCUAAAUAUUGGCGAGAGACCGAUAGCGAACAAGUACCGUGAGGGAAAGAUGAAAAGCACUUUGGAAAGAGAGUUAACAGUACGUGAAAUUGUUGGAAGGGAAACGCUUGAAGUCAGACUUGCUUGCCGAGCAAUCGGUUUGCAGGCCAGCAUCAGUUUUCCGGGAUGGAUAAUGGUAGAGAGAAGGUAGCAGUUUCGGCUGUGUUAUAGCUCUCUGCUGGAUACAUCUUGGGGGACUGAGGAACGCAGUGUGCCUUUGGCGGGGGUUUCGACCUCUUCACACUUAGGAUGCUGGUGGAAUGGCUUUAAACGACCCGUCUUGAAACACGGACCAAGGAGUCUAACAUGCUUGCGAGUAUUUGGGUGUCAAACCCGGAUGCGUAAUGAAAGUGAAUGGAGGUGGGAACCGCAAGGUGCACCAUCGACCGAUCUGGAUUUUUAAUGAUGGAUUUGAGUAAGAGCACGUAUGUUGGGACCCGAAAGAUGGUGAACUAUGCCUGAAUAGGGCGAAGCCAGAGGAAACUCUGGUGGAGGCUCGUAGCGGUUCUGACGUGCAAAUCGAUCGUCAAAUUUGGGUAUAGGGGCGAAAG